Molecule: small RNA, 337 nt
Filed under: Arabidopsis thaliana (thale cress)
Lineage: Eukaryota; Viridiplantae; Streptophyta; Magnoliopsida; Brassicales; Brassicaceae
Description: ATSL304240
Rfam family: MIR405 microRNA precursor family (bases 54-176)
Source: RNAcentral
AUUAUUUAUUAUUGUUUUAUAAUAAUAAUUAAUUAAAUUAUUACUUAAAUGAGUUAACCCAUUUAACAACUCAACCCAUAAAAUUAAAUGAGUUAUGGGUUGACCCAAACCCAUUUAACAAAAUGAGUUGGGUCAACCCAUAACUCAUUUAACCCUAUACUCAUUUGAUUAUGAGUUGAGUUGAGUUGGGUUACCCAUUUUGACACCCCUAAAGAUAUCACACCCUAAAGAUAUCACAAUCUAAAUAAAAUUGAGAAAGAAGACGUUUUUUUGACAAUAUGAAAAUAUGAGCUAAGUUUCAUCGCGUCACUUUUUGAUUUAUAACUGUUGAUUUAAU